AAACAACAAUGAUAAGCACCAGGCAAGUGCGUACGUGGACGCAGUAUCAGACUUCAGUAUCAGCGUUGUAUGGCAAAAUGAAAUCGUAGGUGACGCUAGCAAAGCCCCGAUUGCUACACAUCAUCAUCAUCAUCGUUAUUGACUGCUGUUUUGUUCCUUCUUUUGUUCAGUUUUGUGUUGAUUUUGUAGCUCUUUGUUCAGUCGUUAUGGUGCCUGAGCGUUGUUUCUUUAUUCUAUGGCGUAAAAGUUAUGUGGGCCAUGAUCAUGCCGCAAGCACGUCGCUGCCUUGAUAUAGAGCGUGAAAUCGCGCGCAUGCCGGCUUGACGUUGAUGUGCGCUUAUGUUUGAAAUACAGCGACGCCGGUGCACGCUUCGGUGCCGCUUCUAGGCCGUUUGCGCACAGACGCAAGUUCCAAGCGAGUCGUCGUCCCUAUCUUCAUUUAAUCCGUUUAAUCAAACGGGCCACGUCGAUCCUUCCACAGCGUGAUCGAAGCACGAGGCCCAAAUGUUCAUAGCUUGCCCACCAAGCAAUAAGUCAGUGGAAUUGCACUGGUAAACAAUGCACGGUUGGAGGACGGAGCAAAUCAGAUGGAGAGCCACCUUGCUUCCGUGGUGACAUAGCAGGCAGGCUUUCUAGGUCCUCUGACUAAUCUGUGUACUCUAGCUGUGACUCACUGGUGGAGGCUUGGGCUACAUGUACGCACUUUGGCCCAGAAGUGACCACCGUCACUCCAGGUACCUUGAAGACAGCCCGCUGGGCCACAGCCAGAAAAAGACAGCGUUGGCAACGACUACUGCCAGAAUUCUAUUCCUCGUGUCACACAAACUGCAGAAAUGGUGUUGACCAGAUUACAAGCCAAGCCAAGCCAGGCUCGUGGCACCACCUACUCCAUCUGCUCCUGAACCCUUGCACCACACAUACAUAGGUCAUUCCAUGGUGAUGUUUUUGAGGUUAUUGAAGAUUGGCGGGACGUUUUGAUCGUGUUGCCAGCUUUAACAACUGGGAUGACAAAUGGAAUCUUGGGAAUGUACGCUCGAGUACGUCAUCCAUAAUCAAGGGCAUAAUCAGUUCUUAUUACUGAAUAGAGAAUGUUACAAACAUGAAAAAAAAAAAACAUUUUUUGUUUAAACACCCCGGUUAAACGCCAGAAGCAGGAACUCCGUGUACGUGGGCAAAUGUGAACAUAUCCUCAUGUUUUAUAUGGUAGAGACUGCUUUUGUUUGCAUAAACAAGAGAGAUGACAAUGCAACAUUGUGCGGAGGUUCCAUGUUUACACUGCUUCCUGGAUUUUCAUGUCAUCUUGCACUAUUAUAAACACGCUUAGUGGUUUCUUUUCAUUAAGUGUGACGAUACAGUCGUUUAUGUCAAAUCGGUGUCAAUUUUCUCAAAAGCUAGUUUAAACUACUUUUGUCCACUUCUGCAGGCAUCAGACUAAUAUUCAGAGGUAGUAUUUUAUGCAAUUGUUUCAAAAUUAACUUUGAAAAUUAUUGAAGCCAAUGCACAAUAUAGUUUGCGCAGCUUCUUAGGAGGAUAUAGUCUGGCGCACACCCUCACUUACAAUGCGGUCCACUGUUAAAGGGAACACUUUAAUGUGCAGCACUCACUACAUCUGCAGGCACACACUACAUCUGCAGGCUUGGAGUGACACCUGACAGGGGCAAAAGAUGCUGAGAGUGAGUGGGGCUAUACUAAUCCAGGUACAACCAAAUUGGGAAAGCCCACUAAGCUUCAACAAAGACACUCCCUCACCAGAACAGGAAUUGGCUUCCCUGGUGCAGUACUUGGCCACUACCUCCCAAAUGAUUCUUUCAAUAAACCCAUGGCCCUCAGUCCCCAGCAGCUGCGGAGCGCCUGACCAAGGCGGCGGUCAAAACUGUAACGCAGCAGUGGGUGCUAAGAAUCUCUGGGUCCGGACAGGCUGCCAAUGGAAACUGACCCUGUCAACCUUUAAUAUCCAAACUCUGUCAAGUGAGGCUAGCUUAGCAGGACUCUUUGAGGAACUAUCAGACAUUUUUUAGGAUAUCAUCAGCCUUAGUGAGAUUAGAACUGGUGAGGCUUAUACAUUGCUGAAUAACGGCCAUGUCCUCUGCUAUAGAGGUCUGCCAGGUAAGAAGCAAUACAGGGUAGGAUUCCUAAUCCAUAAAGGUAUAGCGGGCAACAUUGGCGAAUUCUACAGCAUUAAUGAGAGGGUAGCUGUAGUCGUAAUCAAACUUAGUAAGAGGUAUAGAUUAAGGGUAGUACAAGCCUACGUUCCAACAUCGAGUCACAAUGAUGAGGAAGAUCAGUUUUAUGAAGAUGUUGAAUUAGCGAUGAUAAAAGUGCAAACUCAGUAUACUGUAAUAAUGGGCGACUUCAAUGCAAAAGUGGGCGAAAAGCAUGCUGGUGAACAAGUGAUUGGCAACUACAGCGUCGAUUCUAGGAAUGCUAGAGAAGAGCUGCUAAUAGAAUUCGAAGAAAGGAAUAAGCUUCGAAUAAUGAACACCUUUUUCAGGAAGCGUGGCAACAGAAAGUUGACCUGGAAAAGCUCUAAUGGUGAAACAAGAAAUGAAAUUGACUUCAUACUGUCUGCUGAUCCCAGCAUAGUGCAGGAUGUAGAAGUGAUUGGUAGGGUAAAGUGCAGUGAUCAUAGGUUAGUGAGGGCUAGGAUUCACCUCAAUUUGAAGAGAGAAAGAGUAAAAUUAGUCAAGAAGAAACAGGUCAACCUAAAGGCAGUAAGGGUAAAAGCAGACAUAUUCAGUCUGGUACAUACUUUCAAACAAAUGUGCAACCUUAGAACAGAGAGAUGAAGAUGAGAUAGAGAUAAUGAAUGAAACCAUAACUAGGCUGGCUUCAGAGGCAGCAAUUGAAGUGGGAGGCAAGGCACCAAGGCAACCAGUAGGCAGGUUCUCCCAAGUAACAAAGGACCUAAUAAAGAAACGACAAAGAAUGAAAGUGUCCAACUCAAGAGAUAAGAUAGAAUUCACGGAACUGUCAAAAACUGAUCAACAAGGCGAAAAUAAGUGAUACUCGAAACUAUAACGUGAGAAAGACUGAAGAAGCCGUUAAAAAUGGACGCAGCCUGAAAUCAGUGAGAAAGAAACUUGGCAUAGGACAAACCAAGAUGUAUGCACUGAAAGAUAAGCAGGGUAAUAUCAUCAGCAAUCUAGAAGGUAUAAUAAAAGUAGCGGAAGAAUUCUAUACUGACAUUUGCAGUACCCAGAGGACUCAGGAGCACUCCAUUUGAAAAAAUAAUGAACAGUAUACAGAAACUCCUCCUAUAACUAGAGAUGAGGUCAGAAGGGCCUUGCAAGGCAUGAAACGGGGAAGAGUGGCAGAAGAGGAUGGAAUAACAGUCUAUUUAAUCAAAGGUGGAGGAGACAUAAUGCUAGGAAAACUGGCGGCUCUCUAUACGAAGGGUCUAUCGACUGCAAGGGUCCCAGAAAAGUGGAAGAAUGCAAACAUUAUACUAAUCCACAAAAAGGGUGACAUUAAAGAGCUGAAAAAUUAUAGGCCCAUUAGCUUACUCCCAGUAUUAUAUAAAAUAUUUACCAAAAUAAUCUCCAACAGAAUAAGGGCAACAUUGGACUUUAGUCAACCAAGGGAGCAGGCUGGCUUCAGGAAAGGUUACUCUACAAUGGAUCACAUCCAUGUCAUUAAUCAGGUUAUUGAGAAAUCCGCAGAGUACAAUAAGCCUCUCAAUGUGGCUUUCAUAGAUUACGAAAAAGCAUUUGAUUCAGUAGAGAUGCCAGCAGUCAUAGAGGCAUUACAUAAUCAAGGAUUACAGAACUCUUACUUAAAUACCUCGGAAAAUAUCCACAGAGGUUCUACAGCUACCUUAAUUCUACACAAGAAAAGCAGGAAGACACCUAUAAAGAAAGGGGUCACACAAGGAGACACAAUCUGUCCAAUGCUAUUCGCUGUGUACUUGGAAGAAGUAUUCAAGCUAUUAAACUGGGAAGGCUUAGGAGUAAUGAUCGACAGCAAAUAUCUUGGCAACCUUCGGUCUGCCGAUGACAUUGUUCUAUUCAGCAAUGCUGCAGACGAGUUACAACAAAUGAUUAAGGACCUUAACAGAGAGAGUGUAAGAGUGGGGUUGCAAAUUAAUAUGCAGAAGACAACGAUUAUGAUGAACAGCCGGGCAAGGGAACAAGAGUUCAGGAUCGCCAGUCAGCCUCUAGAGUCUGUGAAGUAGUAUGUUUACCUAGGCCAAUAAAUCACACGGAAGCCUGAUCAUGUGAAGGAAAUUCAUAGAAGAAUAAAAAUGGGCUGGAUCGCAUAUGGGAGACAUUGUCAGCUCCUGACUGGAAGCUUACCAUCAUCAUUGAAGAGGAAGGUGUACAAUCAGUGCAUUUUACCGGUGCUGACAUAUGGGGCAGAGACUUGGAGACUGACAAAGAAGCUUGAGAACAAGUCAAGGACCGCGCAAAGAGCGAUGGAAUGAAGAACGCUAGGCAUAGCGUUAAGAGACAGAAAGAGAGCGGUUUGGAACAGAGAGCAAACAGGUAUAGCCGAUAUUCUAAUUGGCAUUAAGAGAAAAAAUACAGUUGUGCAGGUCAUGUAAUGUGCAGGUUAGACAACCGUUGGACCAUUAGAGUUACAGUAUGAAUACCGAGAGAAGGGAAACGCAGUCGAGGAUGGCAGAAGACUAGGUGGAGCGAUGAAAUUAGGAAAUUCGCUGGUGCUAGUUGGAAUCGGUUGGUGCAGGACAGGAGUAAUUGGAGAUCGCAGGACGAGGCCUUCGUCCUGCAGUGGACAUAAAACAGGCUGAUUAUUAUUAUUAUUAUUAUUAUUAUUAUUAUUAUUAUUAUUAUUAUUAUUAUUAUUAUUAUUAUUAUUAUUAUGACUUUGCUAGCACUCCAGACACGAGUGCCGCCUGCAAUUAUAUGAAUGCACUGCAAGGUCAUGCAGAACUUUGCCAAUGCCACCACCACAGGUCAUUUUAAGCAAAGCCGGGUGAUUUUACACUUACUAUAAAGGAAAAAAGUUUCCAGGCACUGUGCACUUGUGUCCUCUUUAACAGUGGACUGCGCUGUACACGCCAAGAACACACCAUGUGUGGCCAAAUGAUCCUCUGAAGAACAUCUGCGGGAUACAUUUGGCUUAUUCCAAUGUUAUCCAUAUAUAACCGUGGCACGAUCGCUUGCAACUGUGGCACAGCUCGUGUGAAGAUUGACUGUUUUUGGAACUGGCCAUAUUGGAAAGCGUAUACUUUACCGUUCAUUGCAGCAGAGGGUGAUAAAGGCUCUGCAACACUUCUUAAGGGUAGACCUAUACUGACUUGAGAGCAGCUUUAAUAUAUGGACUGAUGUUAAAUUAAUUGUGUCAGUAGUUGUGGACACAUGUACACAUGUGUGCUGAAUGAAGUCUAUUCUCUGCUUCCAUCUUGUCAUUCUACCUUCUGCUUCCCAGUCCUCAAAAUUGUAGAGUACUAAACUGGAUUUCGUGUUUGUGAUUGACCUCCCCACUUUUCUUCCUUCAUUUGUCUUUUGCUCUCGUGCUGUGGAUGUGCAGAUAAUUUCUGGUGUAUAUCACGUCAGUCAUUUGAUGACAGCAACAAACACUUAUAGUGUAGCCACAGAGUACAGAGAUGCAAUAUGCCACUAAACCAUGUACAGAAAUUGUGAACGCUGAUGUUUGAGUGAGAGAUUUGCAAUAAACUGAAAUAUAUGGUUCACUGAUGGGGUAUUACAUCUCAAAACAGCAGACAUGGGCUAUGGGAGGUGCCAUAUAAUGGAAGGCUCCGAGUUAAUUUUGACACCGGAGGAUUCUUUAGAGAGAAAGAGGGAAAUAAGUUGAACUGUACUGGUAAAUUACCCUUCCACUAUACACCAGAAAAGUCACUGUUAUUGUGAGAAUUGCUAAAGUAGAAAAGAAGUCAAAGACAAAAGGACAGGUGGUGAAACUGCUGGUGUCCAGUGAACCUUUUAUCAGUUAAGAUUAACAUGUUGCAUGUAUUUUAAAAGAGCCACAGUUUGAGCUUGGCAAGACUCUAAGGCUUGCACCGUGCCAAAUAUGUCCAAAUAUGUCCCAAAUAUGAAAAAUAGUUUGAAAUCUGUAAUGUUGUGAUGACCUAGCAGCCUUCGAGUUUUGGCAUGAAAUUUUAAAAAUUUUGACUUUGACCUGUCUUGUCCCCUUCUAGUGAUAAGCUUUUUUACCACAGUUGGAACAGAUUUAUUUUUAACAAGUGCUGUGAAACAGGAAUGUAGAAAGCAAGGAUUAGGAAUGCAUGGUGAACAUUGGCAGGUCAUUGGACUAAAGACCAGCCAUUUCCACAUAAAAAAUUUGAUUGUUAUCAAUUUUUACCGUAACUGUCAAGUAAAGUAUUUGCAAGGUCUAGCAUUUUCAGCUCCACAGGCCUAGAAUGACACGAACAGGAAUCCGGAAGGAAGGUACAGAAACGUGUGGUGCAAGAGAUAGCCAUUUAAAGUCAUAUAUAAUUUGGGGUUUCAUUUGAAACUUGCUCGUGUGCACGUGCUCGUGUGUAGUCUGGUAGUUAUAGAUAACAAUCAAGCUGGUUGUGAUGUGUGAAAGAACUGUUCAACGAUUACCAAUUACAUUUCGUUUUAACAUUUGUGUAGAAUCUUGUUUUCUAAAAGGCCCCUGAAUAUUGUCAAAGCACAUAUUUCCAAAACAGCCACAGACUUUACCGUCAUGUUUAAGGAAUCAGCCAAUUGAGCUGUUGCGGUUUUCCUGUCUCAUUGGGAUUGAAGCAUGGCUCUUGUCCUUGCAGAUUCAGUCAUGCAUUCCAGUACGUCCACUAUAUAUGACCAGCUGGGCACCAUAACUUCUUUUGUUUCAUCUGGAAGUUCAGUAUUAAUUUAGUAUGCUUAUUAUAACUUUAUUGAGUGCUUGUCCUGUAGUACACAUUUGAUUUUUGAUGGUACUGUUAAUGAAUCAGUGAUAGUUAUUGCAUUGUAUUCGGCUGUUUUGUUCCUGGUUGAGUGCUACUUGUAUGCCGUCUUAAUUGUACAUUUGUCUUGGCCACCACAUAACCAUAGGCAAUGGGUAGAUCUGAACAGUUUCUGUAUAGUAUCUAUAUUGUGACAUUUGAAUGCAAAUAAAUUUGAAGUUCUUAAAGUUAGAACAUAACAACUACAUUUUAACAAUUAAAUGCACUCUCGCAGCCAUCCAGAGGCAUCAUCACCACAUUAUCAAAAAGAGAGAGAGAAGAAAGAUUUUUUACAAGAAGUAUGUGUGUUACAUAGGCAAAAUAAUGUUUGUGGCUUAUUGAAUCAACCUAGGUGAGGACAGGUGCAUUUUGUAUUCCCAACAUUUUAGAACUCUUACCGAAUAACUGACUUGUUUCAACUUGUCAUGCGUAAUCUUUUAUAUGUAAAAGGUUACUCCUUUUCGUAGGUCGGCAGUGUGGGAGAAUACUCACUCACACUCACUCACCAUAAUUUUUCCAGGCCCUGCACUCACUCAUGUUCACACUCACCUCCACUCACACUCACAAGCACCCACUCACAUCCACUCACAAUCACUGGCACUUACUCACCCUUGCACUCACAUCCACUCACAAUCACUGGCACUCAAUCACACUCGGCUCCACUCACACUCACCUCCGCUCACACUCACUGGCACUCACUCGAACUCGCACUCACCUCCACUUGCACUCACCUCCACUCGCACUCACCUCUGCUCACACUCACUGGCACUCGCCACCAGUCGCACUCACUGGCACUCACUCGCACUCAUCCCUUUUAAAUGAGUGAGAGUGAGCAGAGGUGAGUGUGAGUGGCUGCACUCAUGAGUGAGUGUGCUGCCCUCUGCCGCUCACAGUUCGUGUAUAUUCAGACCGAAGCUUCCAAUUUAGCACCUAUAACAUCUGGAGUACAAGAAGGCAGUGUUUUUGGCCCAGUUUUAUCUUUAAUAUACAUAAACGAUUUGUCUUCCCAAUUACAUGGUGACAUCUGUCUAUUCGCUGAUGAUUGUUUUUCGCGCCGCAAAAUUAAUUGCAAUGAUGAUCACCCUAUACAAAAUUCUACCUUUGCUUGUUGUCAGGAGUGGCAGACGACUCUAAAUGCCCAAAGAUAAGUAAUGCUAACAGUAAGUAGAAAGAAACAGAUAUCUUAUUUUACUUACAUUGUUAAUGACACACCUGUCACUUGUGUAUUUCAGGGUAAAAAUUUAGGAGUCACUUUAACACAUGCUCUCCGAUGGGAAACCCAUGUUAACAACAUAACCUCAAGUGUAAAUACUUGCUGCUGUAAAUAUGCUGAGCACCAAAGUGACUCAUCCUUCUGAGAAGACGCCUUCAUCUUGCACCAGCGGAUGCAAAUCUGCUGGCCUACAAAAUGCUUGUUCGACCAGUGCUGGAGUACGCCUGUAUUGUUUGAUUUAUGCACACAAAAGAACUCAUAAGAGGGGGUGCAGAGGAAGGCAAUAUGGUUCAUUUAUAAUAAAUACAAGUUAACGGAUUUAUCGACUGAAUUAUUAAAAAGAGCUGGUUUAUUAACAGUGCAAAGUAGGGCAAAACUAGCACGACUAAAGUUUUUGUUUCGAUUUAUUCAUGCUGACAAAACCAUGGACACAUCUGUACGAAGUUCUUUGAAUAGUUCUAGGUCAACACGCCACAAGCACUCUAGAACACCUCAUGAAUGCAGCUUUAACUAAAAUCCUUUAAAUAUUCAUAUUUCCUUAAAACAAUCAGGGAACGGAAUAAACUUAGUCCUUCCAUUACUAACGCAUAAUAUUUUUAAAUAACCUAACUUCGAGUGGCUGCCAACUUCAACAGCGUUUGCUCAGAGCUUGCCCCUCGUUGAUCCUCGAGGAGGGAAUGGCACUUAGACGAGAUUACGUAAAACAAGCUGGUCUAAUACAUCGCUACAGGCGAGCGAGCAGCAGAGCACCGUAGUGUAUGCCAGCAACUAGAAAAGUUAGAAGCAGAGCUCUUAUCUACAGAGCAGUGCGCUCUUUCUUUAUAUCCCGUACGGGGUUUUAUCUCCACAGCACUGGAGUCUGGAACAAACAAUUGCAAUGCGUCUUUAUGCUUUGAAGGACGCAUUGGCAUUAUUUGUGUACUCCGCGUGGCGUGCCGUCCAUUCGGUGUGUAUUUGAAUUAAAAAGAAGUUAUGGCACGGCAUAGCACGCAUGCAUAAACAAUGCGCCGCGGGCACAGCCAAAAGAAAAAAAAAAGAAAAACUGCGCAUGUGACAUGGAGAGAGGUGGGGGAAGUGGGUAGCGAGCCAAACAAGUCGCUAUAAUAAUGUUUAAAAAGCUACUUUGGAGAGGAGGCGCCGCACAGCUGCUGUUCCUGUUGCCAUGACGACGUAAACAACCAUGUGCACCGCCACUUUUCUAAAGCAUUGCCCGCCUGAAAGGGCCGUAAUUGAAGGGCGCCUUGGCGCUAGCGUCGAAAAAGUGGCUGCAUUAACUCGACAAAUGGGAGCCAUGCGGAGAUUCACAUGGCGGUCAUCAUUGGCUCUGAAUUGAUGCAAUGAUGCGAUUCCUAGCAAUACGGCGGAGGCACGUAACUACGGAAUGAGCGAAAAGAAUAGAGAAAGUAAAGAAACAUCGGGAGCGGUGAUGCAAUGUGGGGACGACAUUGCGCCGUACGAUAGCUCACAAUGAGGAGAGAGAAAGGAGCAAGGUGUGGAGGUGAUAUGACGUGGAGAAAUCCGGUCAGCCCGUCAGAAGCAUUGAAUCUUACAUCUGCGGUAUCUGCACUUGUCCAGCCCCUCCUCCUUUUAGGAAAUUUUGCAUUUAUACUCAAAUUUAUCUUUUUCUAGAUUGAAAUGAAUAUAUAACUAUACUGGCCCAGCCGUUCACGCAUUUAUUAUGUGAAAGUUCAACUGUUACAACAGCCAUAUUCAUAAUCCGGGAGUCCUCUCACAAAUAAUCAACAUGUAACUUGUCUCAUGCUAUCAUAUGCGAAUGGCCCGCCAGUGGGAUAAGCAUAAUAUAUUGCGUAACAUAGGAUUGUUCCGUAAGCUAGCAAGCAUUUAUUGUGCAUGACAAUGUUAUGUGUGUUUGCAUUAAAUUACCACCUUUGAUGCACUGCAAAUAUUUAUAUUACCUUUAAAUAUCGGUACUGAUAUUGCCUUCCAUGGCAGUAAAACGUGAAAAGUUUAGGUCCACAUAAGUUGUUUUUUUUUUGAUUAUGUAAAUACAACUAUGUAUUAAUUGAUCAGCAAGUAUAGUUGCUACGUACUAACCGGCAAGCAUACAGAAUAAAUUGCUAAAUUUAACCUUAAGAAGGAAACAGCAGAGCACGGGAGGCGGUCUUGUAAAGCAAAUCCAACGCAUGAAAUAAAAGAAAGUAAAUGAAAGGCGCAAAGCAUUAGCAUGAGCAAGCCGUUUAUAUCUGCUUCGUUCUCCUGGUUAUGCGCGUCAUCUCAUGCUUAUUAUAUUUUGUAGCACAUUUACGUUUGUCAUGCCACACUUAACUAAACACCUCCGCUCACAAUGAAGUGUGCACUGAAUGUGUCCCACAAACAGUUCCAUAAGUGCAGACCAUUGCGGUGACAAACCUGCAAGCAUAGAAGGAAAUAUACAAAAUCUCUGCAUUUACAGCGCGUAAACACGUUCUCUGUGUGGCGAGUCACUGCAGUAUUAUCUUGCAAUUACGUAGUGUAUUAUAGAAGCUUAAUUAUCGCAAUGUUGGCUAAUAGCAACCAAAUAUCAAGUGCACAGCAGACACCCGUCGCUUUGGCACAGCUUCCACAGCAGAGAAAGCCCACGGGUGCGGCAAAGCAGCGCGGCGGCGGGGCAGUUCUCCGGACAAGCUUUACCUGCCCAGUAUUCUAGGUCAUCCUAGCACGGUUUGGUCCAAUCAGGAAUGCAGGUGCAAGAUCGGACCAUAAACGGGCAUAACCGUCUCAUGUGUGCAUCUGCAAGCACCCAACGCCAACUCAUCGCCAGACGGGGAGAAGGGGUGAGCAUCCGGAAGGAAGAGUAGGCGCCGCUGGUACACACACGCACGCACACAGACGGCUUGCAUGACUUCCAACGGUCAUGUCUCGGCGACAUGGACAUUGGAAGCCGAGCCUAAAGCCGAGGAGCCUUACGCUCCUUGGCCCUUCGGCGCCGUCUGCAAAGGUCUUCCCAAGCCUGAUUUUGAAUGUCUCUGCGCAUUGCACUCGCGCUAACGAUUGCCACACAAGUGAAGCGUAAAAUAAGCUAUGGUGGAAAUUAAUGUACAUGCUGAACAGUUUCUGUGAACAACUCUUUUUAAAAACUUGUAUCAGGACUGUGGUUGAUUAAUCCGAUCUCAUCAUUGCGCAUCCUGUCAUUGUAUUUUUCGUGAUUUGUAUUUUUUAGUCAUACCAAGCGUACUGCUACUGAUAAUUUCAUAUAUUAAUUCUGCUAGUAUUUUAGUGUUUUAAUUCCAUUGUAUAAAUUACUUUAUUGUGCUUCUUUUGUAUCUAUAUGUAUGCUCUCUCUGCGAUGAUCUCUUGUGAGAUCGGCAGUAUUCCUAAAUAUAUAAAUAAACGCUACACGACUUCUG
Dermacentor andersoni is the source of this 11428-nucleotide long non-coding RNA. RefSeq lists it as uncharacterized. The record is from RefSeq and is a predicted model, not a curated record. NCBI's taxonomy places the organism in Eukaryota, Metazoa, Arthropoda, Arachnida, Ixodida, Ixodidae.